RNAcentral lists this ribosomal RNA (778 nucleotides) under uncultured Bacteroidota bacterium. Its description in RNAcentral is "bacterial SSU rRNA". It matches the Rfam family "Bacterial small subunit ribosomal RNA", at positions 145 to 925 of the family's 1533-position model. Lineage: Bacteria; Pseudomonadati; Bacteroidota. The record is from RNAcentral.
AGCCUUUCGAAAGGGAGAUUAAUACCGCAUAAGACAGUAGCUGGGCAUCCAGCAGCUGUUAAAGAUUUAUCGAUGUAAGCUGGGCAUGCGUCCAAUUAGCUAGUUGGUGAGGUAAUGGCUCACCAAGGCUAUGAUUGGUAGGGGAACUGAGAGGUCAAUCCCCCACACUGGCACUGAGAUACGGGCCAGACUCCUACGGGAGGCAGCAGUAGGGAAUAUUGGGCAAUGGACGCAAGUCUGACCCAGCCAUGCCGCGUGCAGGAUGAAGGCGUUAUGCGUUGUAAACUGCUUUUAUACAGGAAGAAACGACUCUUGCGAGAGGCAUUGACGGUACUGUAUGAAUAAGCACCGGCUAACUCCGUGCCAGCAGCCGCGGUAAUACGGAGGGUGCAAGCGUUGUCCGGAUUUAUUGGGUUUAAAGGGUGCGCAGGUGGUUUAUUAAGUCAGUGGUGAAAGACGGUCGCUCAACGAUUGCAGUGCCAUUGAAACUGGUAGACUUGAGUAAAGUAGAGGUGGGCGGAAUUGAUAGUGUAGCGGUGAAAUGCAUAGAUAUUAUCAAGAACUCCAAUUGCGUAGGCAGCUCACUUGGCUUUUACUGACACUCAUGCACGAAAGUGUGGGUAUCAAACAGGAUUAGAUACCCUGGUAGUCCACACUGUAAACGAUGAUAACUAUGUGUCGGCCGAAUCUGGUCGGUGCCACAGCGAAAGCGUUAAGUUAUCCACCUGGGGAGUACGCCGGCCACGGUGAAACUCAAAGGAAUUGACGGGGGUCCCCA